This 400-nucleotide ribosomal RNA is filed under the name uncultured bacterium. RNAcentral's name for it is "bacterial SSU rRNA". It matches the Rfam family "Bacterial small subunit ribosomal RNA", at positions 488 to 890 of the family's 1533-position model. The record is from RNAcentral.
AGCACCGGCUAACUCCGUGCCAGCAGCCGCGGUUAUACGGAGGGUGCAAGCGUUGUCCGGAUUUAUUGGGUUUAAAGGGUGCGUAGGCGGCCGAUUAAGUCAGCGGUGAAAGUUUAGGGCUCAACCCUGAAAUUGCCAUUGAUACUGGUUGGCUUGAGUGUUGAUGGGGUACUUGGAAUUGAUGGUGUAGCGGUGAAAUGCAUAGAUACCAUCAGGAACACCGAUAGCGAAGGCAUGGUACUUAUCAACAACUGACGCUAAGGCACGAAAGCGUGGGUAGCGAACAGGAUUAGAUACCCUGGUAGUCCACGCCGUAAACGAUGAUUACUCGCUGUUAUGCCUAUUUGGUGUAUUGGCCAAGCGAAAGCGUUAAGUAAUCCACCUGGGGAGUACGCCCGCA